CCUACGGGGGACAGCAGUGGGGGAUAUUGCACAAUGGGGGAAACCCUGAUGCAGCGACGCCGCGUGUGGGAAGACGGUCCUCUGGAUUGUAAACCACUGUCCCCAGGGACGAAGCUGACGGUACCUGGGGAGGAAGCUCCGGCUAACUACGUGCCAGCAGCCGCGGUAAUACGUAGGGAGCGAGCGUUGUCCGGAAUUACUGGGUGAAAAGGGAGCGUAGGCGGGACUGCAAGUUGGGUGUCAAAUCUACCGGCUCAACCGGUAGCCGCACUCAAAACUGGAGUUCUUGAGUGAAGUAGAGGCAGGCGGAAUUCCUAGUGUAGCGGUGAAAUGCGUAGAUAUUAGGAGGAACACCAGUGGCGAAGGCGGCCUGCUGGGCUGUGACUGACGCUGAGGCUCGAAAGUGUGGGGAGCAAACAGGAUUAGAUACCCGUGUAGUC
Molecule: ribosomal RNA, 440 nt
Filed under: uncultured bacterium
Lineage: Bacteria
Description: partial 16S ribosomal RNA
Rfam family: Bacterial small subunit ribosomal RNA
Source: RNAcentral